Molecule: ribosomal RNA, 271 nt
Filed under: uncultured prokaryote
Description: partial 16S ribosomal RNA
Rfam family: Bacterial small subunit ribosomal RNA
Source: RNAcentral
UACAGAGGCCCCGAGCAUUAUCCGGAAUCACUGGGCGUAAAGGGUGCGUAGGCGGCUAUAUUAGUCGGGUGUUAAAUCCCGGGGCUCAACCCCGGAAUCGCAUUCGAAACGGUAUGGCUAGGAGAAGUGAGAGGUGCAUGGAACUCAAGGUGUAGGGGUGAAAUCCGUUGAUAUCUUGGGGAACACCAAAUGCGAAGGCAAUGCACUGGCGCUCUCUCGACGCUGAGGCACGAAAGCGUGGGUAGCGAAUGGGAUUAGAAACCCUUAGUCC